RNAcentral lists this ribosomal RNA (489 nucleotides) under uncultured bacterium. Its description in RNAcentral is "bacterial SSU rRNA". It matches the Rfam family "Bacterial small subunit ribosomal RNA", at positions 903 to 1397 of the family's 1533-position model. The record is from RNAcentral.
AAAGGAAUUGACGGGACCCCGCACAAGCGGUGGAUCAUGUUGUUUAAUUCGAAGAUACGCGAAGAACCUUACCAGGUCUUGACAUCCCCUGCAAUACUAUAGAGAUAUAGUGGAGGUUACCAGGGUGACAGGUGGUGCAUGGUUGUCGUCAGCUCGUGUCGUGAGAUGUUCGGUUAAGUCCGGUAACGAGCGCAACCCUCGUUGUUAGUUGCCAUCAUUAAGUUGGGGACUCUAACAAGACUGCCAGUGAUAAACUGGAGGAAGGUGGGGAUGACGUCAAAUCAUCAUGCCCCUUAUGACCUGGGCUACAAACGUGAUACAAUGGCUGGAACAAAGGGAAGCGAAAGGGUGACCUGGAGCAAAACUCAUAAAAACAGUCUCAGUUCGGAUUGAAGUCUGCAACUCGACUUCAUGAAGUUGGAAUCGCUAGUAAUCGUGAAUCAGAAUGUCACGGUGAAUACGUUCUCGGGGUUUGCACACACCGCCCGU